Molecule: long non-coding RNA, 856 nt
Organism: Neopelma chrysocephalum (saffron-crested tyrant-manakin)
Lineage: Eukaryota; Metazoa; Chordata; Aves; Passeriformes; Pipridae
Exons: 2
Source: RefSeq, a predicted model, not a curated record
CCGGCCCGGCCGCGUCCGCCCCUCGGCGGGUGGGUUGGAGCCGCGCGGCCAAGGGAGCGCCCCGUGCUCGGAGUUCGGUGUGACCCGCUGGUGGGACGCGGGGCUCGCUCCCGGGCUCGGCGUUUUGGUGCCGCCGGUGACACGGAGGAAGCACCGGUUCAAAGAGGUUUUGAAAUGCCGUUCCCUGCUAGAACUGGAAUUGUAGAGCCUUGUAGUUGCACGGUUAAUCGAUCCCUUUCAGGGAAUCUACGUAGUGGUGAAGCUAUUUUGAUGUCAGAAGUGUCUGGACUCCCCAGCUUAGACUGUGUGAGCUAAGCAGGUAUUAAGGGACAAGCCCUGCCUAUGGAGCUUGAAUGGACAGGAGAAAAGAUGGAAGAAAGGAGAGGGAACAUGAGGUUUGUAAGACCUUGUUUAGAGAGGAUACUUGACAAAGUUCAGAUGAACUUCAAGAUAAAAAACAACUUAAAGCCGCUUAAAUUCUGGAUCUUAACUUUUAAUAAUAUACACUUUGAAUUAAUGAGUUCAAUACCUAACUGUUGUUCUUAGGCAAAUCCUUUAAUUGGAAAAAGGAUUUAAAAACCACUGGUUUCAGUACUUCUUUCUGCCAUCACUUAAAUCAUAUUUGAAUCUAAAGUAUAGCACAGCUGGACAGCAAGUAAUUCAAAGAAAGGUAGGACAGCUGAAGCACUUAAAAUUUCAGUUAAGCAACGCUUCAGAACAGCUAGAAAGAAUUAGCUUGGGAGUGUGGGGUUUUCCCACCAGACUCCAGCUUGCUGACAUAGACUUCUUGUUUUCCAAACUUCCAUGCAAGAAAAUCUCAUGCUAUAAAAGAAUAAAACCCUUAAGAAAAAAAAAA